RNAcentral lists this ribosomal RNA (822 nucleotides) under uncultured archaeon. RNAcentral describes it as "bacterial SSU rRNA". It matches the Rfam family "Archaeal small subunit ribosomal RNA", at positions 41 to 871 of the family's 1478-position model. The record is from RNAcentral.
CGAUUAAGCCAUGCGAGUCGAGAGGUUUCUGACCUCGGCGUACUGCUCAGUAACACGUGGACAAUCUGCCCUGGAGAGGAGGAUAUCCCCGGGAAACUGGGAUUAAUACUCCAUAGUUCGUCUUAACUGGAAUGUUAUUCGAACGAAAGAUCCGUCGCUCCAGGAUGAGUCUGCGGCCGAUUAGGUAGUUGUUGGGGUAACGGCCCAACAAGCCUUUCAUCGGUACGGGUUGUGGGAGCAAGAGCCCGGAGAUGGAUUCUGAGACACGAAUCCAGGCCCUACGGGGCGCAGCAGGCGCGAAAACUUUACCAUGCGGGCAACCGUGAUAAGGAAACCCCGAGUGCCAGCACAGGCUGGCUGUCCGCCAGUUUAAAUAACUGGUGAAGAAAGGGCCGGGCAAGACCGGUGCCAGCCGCCGCGGUAAUACCGGCGGCUCGAGUGGUGGCCGCUAUUACUGGGCUUAAAGGGUCCGUAGCUUGAUAACUGGGUCCCUUGAGAAAUCCGCCAGCUUAACUGGCGGGCGUUCAGGGGAAACUUGUUUUCUAGGGACCGGGAGAGGUGAGGGGUACUGCCGGGGUAGGAGUGAAAUCCUGUAAUCCCGGUGGGACCACCUAUGGCGAAGGCAUCUCACCAGAACGGGUCCGACAGUGAGGGACGAAAGCUGGGGGAGCAAACCGGAUUAGAUACCCGGGUAGUCCCAGCUGUAAACUAUGUGCGUUAGGUGUGUCAGUGACCACGUGUCACUGAGGUGCCGAAGGGAAACCGUGAAACGCACCGCCUGGGGAGUACGGUCGCAAGGCUGAAACUUGAAGGAAUUGGCGG